AAUAAAAUAUCUUAAAUAUAAAGAAUUACUUUGAUAAAGUAAAUAUGUUUUAAAACAUUAAACUUUUAUUG
Molecule: transfer RNA, 71 nt
Filed under: Aclerda takahashii
Lineage: Eukaryota; Metazoa; Arthropoda; Insecta; Hemiptera; Aclerdidae
Description: tRNA-Ile
Source: RNAcentral